UUGCUUUUUAUCAUGCCGGAAGCGGCUAAAUCUGCUCCUGCUCCGAAGAAGGGAUCCAAGAAGGCGGUUACUAAAGCGCAGAAGAAAGAUGGUAAAAAGCGCAAACGCAGCCGCAAAGAGAGUUAUUCCAUCUAUGUGUACAAGGUGCUGAAGCAGGUCCACCCGGACACCGGUAUUUCGUCUAAGGCCAUGGGCAUCAUGAACUCGUUUGUCAACGACAUUUUCGAGCGCAUCGCGGGCGAGGCGUCGCGCCUGGCGCAUUACAACAAGCGGUCGACCAUCACGUCCAGGGAAAUCCAGACGGCCGUGCGCCUCCUGCUGCCCGGGGAGCUGGCCAAGCACGCCGUGUCCGAGGGCACCAAGGCUGUCACCAAGUACACCAGCGCCAAGUAAACAUAUAUAGCAAUCAGAAUAAAAUCUGUGGAAGAAGGAGAGGGAUUGGAAUAGAAGCAGAUGUUGGUAAUUGUUGAAGCUUGUCUGAUGGACACCUGGAGGUACGUUUUCGUGUACUUUUGGGUAUACUUCAAGACCUCCAUAAUCCUUUCCCCGCCUCCCUCCCCCUUACCCUCCUCCCCAAAAAAAGGUUUCAAGAAAGCUGGCCCAAUUAACGAACAUAAUUCUCUUUCAGUCAACAAGGGGUGACAAUGAGAGGAAUCAAGUGCUGGCAAAGAGAAAUUCUGGCGACUGAACUAAGGGAACAAGAAGGCCAUUUGCACAAGGGAGGAGCUCAUAGCAGCAGCCGUCCCCUCCUCCCAUCUCACAGGCUCGACAAUCAAGAAACGCUAUCGCCAUCUUGUGGCCCUUUAAGAAAAUGUAGCUAAUAUUGUUUUGUGGUUUCUACUAGGCAGUCCAUUGCUAGGGUUUAAUAAUUGCAUAUAUAAAUAAUACAAUAAACAAUCCUAUUUCAAACACAGCCCUCAUCUGCCCAGUUCCCCCAUCAAUAACAAAGAACCACAUUUAUUAAUUUCCUGUGUACCCAUCUGGAAUUUCUUUAUACAAACACAAAUAUGUAAGGGUGAAUUCUGUUAUGUCCCCAUUAACAUAAAUGGCCAAUGGCUAUAUUCCUUUCACGGUUCUGUGCCUUGCUUUUCUCAUUAUCUAGCUUGGAACUCUUUCCUAUUAGUAAGUAGAGUGGCUGAAACUUCUCAGCAGGUGCACCUGAGCCAGUGAUCCUAGGAGUGUAACCUGAGGCCAAACCUUUUCCUACACUGGCUGCAUCUUCCCUGAAAAUAAGCCUGAUGCUUAUUUGAGAGGAAGCCUGGGACUCUUCGAUGAGCUGCCCAGGGGCUGAACCUGGUCCGGAAAGCUCUGGGGUGGCUGAAUUCCUGUUCCCUUCCUGAGAUGGGACUUCCAUGCUUUGUAAUAAGGGUCAUUGAGGUCCUAAUGCAAGUAUUCGUCUUGUCAGUGAGGCCGCCUUUGACUGUCAUCUUUAAUAAUUAAGCCAC
This is an RNA transcript of Balaenoptera musculus (blue whale), 1445 nucleotides long. It is a transcript of the gene named histone H2B type 1-J-like, with no coding region annotated. NCBI's taxonomy places the organism in Eukaryota, Metazoa, Chordata, Mammalia, Artiodactyla, Balaenopteridae. The record is from RefSeq and is a predicted model, not a curated record. The transcript has 3 exons.